Molecule: ribosomal RNA, 257 nt
Filed under: uncultured bacterium
Lineage: Bacteria
Description: partial 16S ribosomal RNA
Rfam family: Bacterial small subunit ribosomal RNA
Source: RNAcentral
UACGGAGGGUGCAAGCGUUUAUCCGGAUUUACUGGGUUUAAAGGGUGCGUAGGUGGGUAAGUAAGUCAGUGGUGAAAUCUCCGGGCUUAACCCGGAAACUGCCAUUGAUACUAUUUGUCUUGAAUACUUUGAGGUAAGCGGAAUAUGUCAUGUAGCGGUGAAAUGCUUAGAUAAUGACAUAGAACACCAAAUUUGCGCAGGAGCUUACUACACAGUAAUUGACACUAGGCACGAAAAGCGUGGGGGAUCAAAACAGG